AUGAGUGGAGAAGGAGAUCAAAGCCCAAAUGGAGCAGGGAGGCCUUUGCAAGGGGCCCGGCCGUUGGGAGAAGAGACGCUGCAAGCCAUAGCUUCCUCUACGGGGUACCCCAGGCCGGACGGCAUGACCCAGAGGAUCCCCAGGGGAGGAAGAGGCGUCUCUGCGGCUGCGGAAACCAGUUGGGGAUCUGGAGGAAGCAUGCCGGAGACCGUGGCCCUGCGGUUAUCCAUCCUGGAAACAAAUUUAUCCAGGCUGUCGGAAACCGUGGGGAGGUUGGUGCCACUAUUGGAAGAGAAUCUCCAAAAGGAGCCCAUCCGAUAUGGCGCCGAGAGAGAGCCAAGUAAAGAAGGAGAUUGGAGCCAGAGGGGCCAGCGAGCAUCAACGCAGAGUCCCGUGGCGGCGAGGGGCGAGGUAGAUGAGGAAUAUUGGCAGGAGCUGGAGUUCCGAGACAGAAUGGCACGCGAAGUGGAGCGCCAGCGAGCUCUGGGAACUCUGAGGCCGCCAUCUCCAACAGAGCUCCCAACCCCCCGGAUGGGCGUCGGGGUGGAAAGACCACUGGGGCCAGGGAUCGGGUCCAGUGGAUUAGCAGACGAAGGCGGAGAGGAGCAGGAGAUCCAGGAAGAGGAGGAGAAUGUGCUGUACGACGAAGGAAGACGAGAUGCGGGGGCUACAGCGAGGCCCGUAUGCGGAUGGGUGGAAGGGCCGACAGCGGCGGCAGAAUUUCGGGAGCCGCGCAGAAUGACCACCGGAGUGGGGCGCGGCGUGUUCAGAGGGGCCGUCCAAGGAAACCCGAUGCAACCCUUCCCCAUGCCUCCCAGACAGCACCAACGGGCCGCAGAAUGGAUGCCAAGGAGGGAAGAUCUCAAACUAGAAUACGGAGGGGAAUCAGCUGAAUUGAACUUUUUUCUAAUUAGCAUCAGAGGAUACAUGGAAGACAAUGCACACACAUUCCCCUCCGAAGCAAGCAGGGUUCGAGCCAUCGGCAACACACUAAAGAGAGGAGCUGCAAGCUGGUAUGUGCAACUACAUGCCAGACGCGACCCAUGCCUGAGGUCAGUGCCCCGCUUCCUCGCCGCACUGGAAAACCGGUUCAGAGACCGGCUAGAGCAACUGAGGGCUCGAGACCAGCUUAAAGGAAUAAAGCAGAGGGACAAAACGGUGCCCGAGUACGCAGAGGAAUUCCUCCACCUCGCGGAAAGGGUACCAGAGUGGUCUGAAGUGACCAAAGUGGAAAUAUUUAAAGAGGGACUACGCCCCGAGGUUUUCAGCUGGGCAGCGCACAGAGAUGACCCCGAAACGCUCCAGGGAUGGAUUCAACUAGCGGGGCGCGUUGAGUCCACCCUGGCCCAAGUGAAGCGCUUCAGGAGCAGCGGCGGCCAGCAAAGACCGGUGGCGAGAGGUAGAGGAGAAACGAGGAAGCAGGAAAGGUCCGGAGGGAGGCCGGGGAUUCCCUCCAGAGGAGACGACAACAAACCUAAACCGGGAUGCUUUGUGUGUGGGAAGACGGGCCAUCGAGCAGCAGAAUGUUGGGCACGGAAGGGGGAGCCGCCAAAACCCUCAAAACCCAAGCCAGCAACCGGGAGGCGUGCGGAGGAGGAGGUGCAAGCCCCAGAAUCUUCGGAAAAACUGGACUAUGAUGAAAGAAGAACCGAAGAGGAGGACGAAGAAAACGAGGGCGCCAUGUCAUGGAGCCAAAUCCCAGGGCUGGAUUUCCAAGCCCUGAAUCUGGCUUCAUAACAUAAACAACCUUGCAAGCACCUGGCGGGAGAAGAUAAAAUGAGCCUGGGAACUCAGGGUUGAAAGUAUAAACAAUUAUAAUUGAUGUAGUGUGUGGGAAUGGUAGUAAUGUGAUCCAGAGGGUGGGGUUUGAUGAUGAUAUUUGCGUGUGCUAUUACGUUGCAUCAGAAGUGAUAAAAUUGAGUGUAUGUAAACAUUAGGUCAUUCUCGACUUUUCCAAAGUCAUGUAUUCUUCAAUAAAGAUUGGAUUUGAGAGCAGCUAUCUUUGAUCUGCGUUCAGACUGGUCCUUUGAAGUGAGCGUGACAUAUAUGUGUUCAUUGUAAUCCUCCCUGAGUCCCCUUCGGGGUGAGAAGGGCGGAAUAUAAAUACUGUAAAUAAAUAAAUAAAUAAAUAAAUAAAUAAAUUUUGGAAUAUAUCGUGGUUGAGAAGCAAUCAAGAUGUUCAUUGAAGUCAUAUGGUAACAUCAUUUUAGGAUUGUACAAUCUCAGGAAUAUUUUUAUCAGAUUUAAAGAUAAAGUUAAUGCAUUUUAAAAAUUAGCUCAUCAAGAGAAGCACUGAAAUUUAAUUCUCACCCCAAUGUACUGCUAUUCUUCAUGUAGAGAAAUUUUGAACAUGGGAAGCUUUCCCAACAACUGCAACCCAGACUGGUUAGACCUUACCAUUAUCAUUCUGCUGAAUUAGUUGUGAAUAUUGAAUAUUGAAAGAUGGAACACCUUGGAUGGAGUAUAGCUGUUUAAAGAACAUCAUAGUAUUGUCUAAUGCUGAUUCUCAAGAAGGAAGCUGGUUUGGCCAAAGUAAAAUGGCUAAAACGGAUUUAUACACAAGUCUAGUAAUAUGUGCCAGUAAAGACUUGCAGUUACAGUAGAGUCUCACUUAUCCAACAUAAACAGGCCAGCAGAACAUUGGAUAAGCGAAUAUUUAUUUACAGUAUUUAUAUUCCGCCCUUCUUUCUCACCCCGAAGGGGACUCAGGGCGGAUCACAUUACAUAUAUAAGGCAAACAUUCAAUGCUUUAACAUAGAACAAAGACAGAGACAAACAUGGGGCUCCGAGCUGGCCUCGAACUCAUGACCUCCUGGUCAGAGUGAUUCAUUGCAGCUGGCUGCAGCUGGUUGCUCAACAGCCUGCGCCACAGCCCGGCCCAAAUAUGUUGGAUAAUAAGGAGGUAUUAAGGAAAAGCCUAUUAAACAUCAAAUUAGGUUAUGAUUUUACAAAUUAAGCACCAAAACAUCAUGUUUUACAACAAAUUUGACAGUAAAAGUAGUUCAAUAUGCAGUAAUGCUAAGUAGUAAUUACUGUAUUUACGAAUUUAGCACCAAAAUAUCACGAUGUAUUGAAAACAUUGACUACAAAAAUGCGUUGGAUCAUCCAGAACGUUGGAUAAGCAAAUGUUGGAUAAGUGAGACUCUACUGUAUAUUUGUGUAUUCCAGCUGUGAAUUGCACAUUGCAAUUGAGCAUUGUGAUAUAUGCUCAGUGUACUGCUGUUUCUUUUUAUAUUUGUCCACACUAAAGGUAAGACUGAUGAUCAAAAAGACUGAAAAUCACUGUUGUUGUUAUUCCGUCAGAGACA
This is a long non-coding RNA of Anolis carolinensis (green anole), 3308 nucleotides long. Lineage: Eukaryota; Metazoa; Chordata; Lepidosauria; Squamata; Anolidae. The record is from Ensembl.